GACGAACGCUGGCGGCGUGCUUAACACAUGCCAGUCGAACGGAAAGGCCUGCUUUCCCUUGUGGAUUGCGGGUACUCGAGUGGCGAACGGGUGAGUAACACGUGAGUGAUCUGCCCCCAACUUGGGUAUAAGCCUGGGAAACUGGGUCUAAUUCCCGAUAGGACUGCAGGGUGGUGCCUGUGGUGGAAAACGAUUUUCUAGUGGUUGGGGAUGAGCUCGCGGCCUAUCGGCUUGUUGGUGGGGUAAUGGCCUACCAAGGCGGCGACGGGUAGCCGGCCUGGGAGGGUGGACGGCCACAUUGGGACUGCGAUACGGCCCAGACUCCUACGGGAGGCAGCAGUGGGGAAUAUUGCACAAUGGGCGGAAGCCUGAUGCAGCGACGCCGCGUGGGGGAUGACGGCCUUCGGGUUGUAAACUCCUUUCGACCGCGAGGAAGCCACCUGGUUGGAAGGGUGGUGACGGUAGUGGGAGAAGAAGCACCGGCUAACUACGUG
RNAcentral lists this ribosomal RNA (494 nucleotides) under uncultured bacterium. RNAcentral describes it as "partial 16S ribosomal RNA". It matches the Rfam family "Bacterial small subunit ribosomal RNA", at positions 28 to 507 of the family's 1533-position model. The record is from RNAcentral.